This 460-nucleotide ribosomal RNA is filed under the name uncultured bacterium. Its description in RNAcentral is "partial 16S ribosomal RNA". It matches the Rfam family "Bacterial small subunit ribosomal RNA", at positions 338 to 795 of the family's 1533-position model. The record is from RNAcentral.
CCUACGGGUGGCAGCAGUGAGGAAUAUUGGUCAAUGGCCGGAAGGCUGAACCAGCCAUGCCGCGUGAAGGUCAGUGCCCUAUGGGCGUUAAACUUCUUUUGUGCGGGAGCAAUAAUGGUCACGUGUGGCCAGACGAGAGUACCGUAUGAAUAAGCAUCGGCUAACUCCGUGCCAGCAGCCGCGGUUAUACGGGGGAUGCAAGCGUUAUCCGGAUUUAUUGGGUUUAAAGGGUGUGUAGGGUGUGAGGUAAGUCAGCGGUGAAAUGCCCCCGCUCAACGGGGUGAAGUGCCAUUGAUAUUGGCUGGCUGGAAUGCGGAUGCCGUGGGAGGAAUGUGUGGUGUAGCGGUGAAAUGCAUAGAUAUCACACAGAACACCGAUUGCGAAGGCAUCUCACGAAUCCGCGAUUGACGCUGAUGCACGAAAGCGUGGGUAUCAAACAGGAUUAGAUACCCCAGUAGUC